Tachyglossus aculeatus (Australian echidna) is the source of this 138-nucleotide small nucleolar RNA. NCBI's taxonomy places the organism in Eukaryota, Metazoa, Chordata, Mammalia, Monotremata, Tachyglossidae. The record is from RefSeq and is a predicted model, not a curated record.
CCUCUCUCAGGGUUACACCUGGAGAGUUUCCAGUACUAUACCGGUUUUGACUACAGGAGAAAGAGUCAAGCAGAGGCCUACCCAUUCCAUUCCUAGCUUGGCCAGUGGCUAGCGAGUGGAAGGCCAUCUGUGACAUGU